RNAcentral lists this unclassified non-coding RNA (736 nucleotides) under Hevea brasiliensis (rubber tree). Lineage: Eukaryota; Viridiplantae; Streptophyta; Magnoliopsida; Malpighiales; Euphorbiaceae. The record is from RNAcentral.
GUCUGAUUCCCUCUUGCUCUACAGGUCUCGUUCUUCCUUCCCUUUAAAUCCAUAAGUCUCUCCUUUUCCUUUCUACUUCUGCUUCUAAGUCACUCUAAUGGCGGGUGUUUUCGAACUCCUGAGGCGCCUUUACCUCACCCUCUAUAACUGGACCGUCUUCGUUGGCUGGGCUCAGGUGUUGUUUCUUGCUGUGAGAACUUUGAAGGAAUCAGGCCAUGAACAUGUCUAUAAUUCUGUUGAGAAACCUCUUCUUCUCGCUCAGACUGCUGCCGUUUUGGAGAUUCUUCAUGGUCUAGUGGGCUUGGUGAGAUCUCCAAUAACUGCAACACUGCCACAGAUAGGUUCAAGAUUGUAUGUAACAUGGGGCAUCUUAUAUAGCUUCCCAGAGAUUCGAACUCACUUUCUUGUUAGUUCUUUGGUCAUCAGCUGGUCAAUCACUGAGAUAAUUCGAUAUUCUUUCUUUGGCACAAAAGAGGCUCUUGGUUUUGCACCUUCAUGGCUCAUGUGGCUCAGAUAUAGCACAUUUUUUUUGUUGUAUCCCACUGGUAUCAGCAGUGAAGUUGGUCUAAUAUAUUUUGCCUUGCCAUACAUCAAGAAAUCUGAGAAGUAUUGUGUAAGGAUGCCUAACACAUGGAACUUUUCUUUUGAUUACUUCUAUGCUGCAAUUCUUGUACUUGGAGUCUAUGUCCCAGGCAGUCCUCAUAUGUACAGCUAUAUGCUUGGGCAGAGAAAAAAA